Molecule: long non-coding RNA, 976 nt
Organism: Tympanuchus pallidicinctus (lesser prairie-chicken)
Lineage: Eukaryota; Metazoa; Chordata; Aves; Galliformes; Phasianidae
Exons: 3
Source: RefSeq, a predicted model, not a curated record
CGGUCCAUCUGGGGAGGAGCGGGCAGAGAUCAGCACCCUGAGUGCCUGCAUUGGUGCCUCUGCUCUGGAUCCGGGAGCUCAGCCGCAGCUGUGGCUGCAAAGCACUCUGGCGCUGUGAUCCCUGUCCAGAGAAACCCCCACCUCUCUUUUUUUCCUUUAUCUUUUUUUCCCCUUUUUCUGCAUUCUCAUCCUUCCCUCCCAGUCUGAACUUGGCUGCUCAACAGCUUUUCCAAAAAAAAAAAAAAAAAAAAAAAAAAAAAAAAAAGAAAAGUCCCAGCUGGCUUUUGGCACAGACACAGUGCCGUAAUUAAUGUGAAAGCCUUGAUUACUUUUUUUUCAAUCCCCCAACUUUGGCUCUUCUCAAAACAUGUGAGUCCCGGAGGGCUCUGCUCCGUGCUGACGUGGGCUGUGCUGCACCAGAGAUCCUGCACCUCUCUGCCUCAUUACUUCCUCUUUUGAAGGCUGACCACCAUCGGAGGCAAGCUCGCAUCGAUUGUGCAGCUCCGGCCACUGGAUUCUGGGCACGGAGCCCCAUUCUGUGCCCCAGAGGGCUUACUCUCCUGGUUUUAUUUUUUUCCCUUUUUUAAAAAGAAGACAAACGACCUCCAGCCUCCGUUCUGCUGCGUCCUCAGCAGGAGAUGCCACCCCAGAGUUAUGGUCGGUCGCUGCAUCCCUCCCACAGGAAUGCUCUGUUUGCAGGCUGUUGUUUAACUGAUGCCACAGAACUCUGAAAUUUGUCCUGAGAGAGGAAUCUGCAGCAGCCAGGUACAAAAUGAGUCCCCACCGCACAGAUGCACGCUGCUGUCUCUCUACCUCUGACCUCACCGCAAUGGAAUUGAUGCCGAUACGAUGCCCCAGUGGUGGAAGACAAGGGGAUGGCAAAGGAGACAAACCCGCAGUGCUCCCUGCCCAUCAGUGGGAGCACGGUUGGCCUUUGCGUUUGGCCGUUUGCGCUCGCCCUGCACUUACUUCGCUG